UACGUAGGGUGCAAGCGUUGUCCGGAUUUAUUGGGCGUAAAGAGCUCGUAGGCGGCUCGGUAAGUCGGGUGUGAAAACUCGGGGCUCAACCCCGAGACGCCACUCGAUACUGCCAUGGCUAGAGUCCGGUAGGGGAGCGUGGAAUUCCUGGUGUAGCGGUGAAAUGCGCAGAUAUCAGGAGGAACACCGGUGGCGAAGGCGGCGCUCUGGGCCGGAACUGACGCUGAGGAGCGAAAGCGUGGGGAGCAAACAGG
RNAcentral lists this ribosomal RNA (254 nucleotides) under uncultured bacterium. Its description in RNAcentral is "partial 16S ribosomal RNA". It matches the Rfam family "Bacterial small subunit ribosomal RNA", at positions 524 to 776 of the family's 1533-position model. The record is from RNAcentral.